Molecule: long non-coding RNA, 675 nt
Organism: Corticium candelabrum
Lineage: Eukaryota; Metazoa; Porifera; Homoscleromorpha; Homosclerophorida; Plakinidae
Exons: 3
Source: RefSeq, a predicted model, not a curated record
GCAGCAAUGGAUUUCAGUAUACUUUGACACAUAAUUUAUGUCAUCAAAACUCUUGUCACAAACAAUUGGUUAUUCAUAAUACAUAGUAACAAGAGUUGUGAUCAACUAUGCAGUUUACAUUGUGCAAGUUAGUGGUCCAAGUUGAGAGAGUAGUGAACAGUCUACCAUCUUCCUGCAUUUUGUUGACCUUUGGAGAUACUGUCUUUCAAAGAGACAGAAUAGCAAUUUCUAUUGCCGGAGGAGACUCUUUCCACAGUGUUGUUUUCAAAAUCCGAAUCUGAAUCUGUGCUUAGAUUUGACUGGCAGGUUGGAAUGAGCGAUUGUUUGAUUGUGGGUUGACAUUCAUUGUUUUUGGACUCAGUUAUGGGUGCCAAGUCAGUGCUGUUGGUUAUUUCUACAUGUGUUGAUAUGGAUUCAUUGGAGUCAGCUGCUGUCUUUGACUUGCACACGUCUGUUAGUUCUGACUGAAUCCGACAACGUAUCUGGGGAAUGUCAGCCUGUAGUAACAAAGCCAAUAAAGUACGAGUACUUACUAACUGUACAAACUGUUCUAGAUAUAUCAUUCAGGUUUUCUAAGUGGUUCUAUAAAUAGAAUGUUUGAGUUUCUUAGUAUCAGUAGUAAGCUGUUGACUGUUAAUUAAUUAAUUAAUGGAUAUAUAAAUUAACAAUCAUGUA